UACAGAGGUCUCAAGCGUUGUUCGGAUUCAUUGGGCGUAAAGGGUGCGUAGGCGGCGCGGUAAGUCGGGUGUGAAAUCUCGGAGCUUAACUUCGAGCCUGCGUUCGAUACUGGGUAGCUAGAGUCUGGUAGGGGGAUCUGGAAUUCCUGGUGUAGCGGUGGAAUGCGCAGAUAUCAGGAGGAACACCGGUGGCGAAGGCGGGAUCCUGGGCCAGUACUGACGCUGAGGAGCGAAAGCGUGGGGAGCAAACAGG
RNAcentral lists this ribosomal RNA (253 nucleotides) under uncultured bacterium. RNAcentral's name for it is "partial 16S ribosomal RNA". It matches the Rfam family "Bacterial small subunit ribosomal RNA", at positions 524 to 776 of the family's 1533-position model. The record is from RNAcentral.